AGCAAGUCGACGAUGAAGCCCUUCGGGGUGGAUUAGUGGCGAACGGGUGAGUAACACGUGGGCAAUCUGCCCUUCACUCUGGGACAAGCCCUGGAAACGGGGUCUAAUACCGGAUACGACACGGGGUCGCAUGACCUCCGUGUGGAAAGCUCCGGCGGUGAAGGAUGAGCCCGCGGCCUAUCAGCUUGUUGGUGGGGUGAUGGCCUACCAAGGCGACGACGGGUAGCCGGCCUGAGAGGGCGACCGGCCACACUGGGACUGAGACACGGCCCAGACUCCUACGGGAGGCAGCAGUGGGGAAUAUUGCACAAUGGGCGAAAGCCUGAUGCAGCGACGCCGCGUGAGGGAUGACGGCCUUCGGGUUGUAAACCUCUUUCAGCAGGGAAGAAGCGAAAGUGACGGUACCUGCAGAAGAAGCGCCGGCUAACUACGUGCCAGCAGCCGCGGUAAUACGUAGGGCGCAAGCGUUGUCCGGAAUUAUUGGGCGUAAAGAGCUCGUAGGCGGCUUGUCACGUCGGAUGUGAAAGCCCGGGGCUUAACCCCGGGUCUGCAUUCGAUACGGGCAGGCUAGAGUUCGGUAGGGGAGAUCGGAAUUCCUGGUGUAGCGGUGAAAUGCGCAGAUAUCAGGAGGAACACCGGUGGCGAAGGCGGAUCUCUGGGCCGAUACUGACGCUGAGGAGCGAAAGCGUGGGGAGCGAACAGGAUUAGAUACCCUGGUAGUCCACGCCGUAAACGUUGGGAACUAGGUGUGGGCGACAUUCCACGUCGUCCGUGCCGCAGCUAACGCAUAAGUUCCCCGCCUGGGGAGUACGGGCGCAAGGUAAAACUCAAUGAAUUGACGGGGA
RNAcentral lists this ribosomal RNA (845 nucleotides) under Streptomyces sp. 0913CV3CTS6. RNAcentral's name for it is "bacterial SSU rRNA". It matches the Rfam family "Bacterial small subunit ribosomal RNA", at positions 56 to 919 of the family's 1533-position model. Lineage: Bacteria; Bacillati; Actinomycetota; Actinomycetes; Kitasatosporales; Streptomycetaceae. The record is from RNAcentral.